AUGCAGUCUUUUACAAAAACACAUUGUUUAACCUGAACCAUGAUCUCCAUCCAAUAAGAAAGUUAUCUCUGUCCAUUUUUUUCCCUUUCUUUUCUUCUCUCUCCUUUACCAGGUAUCACUGGGACAGGCUCUGGAACUACAUCCUCACCUGGAGGUUUCAAUGCAGAAGCAACAACUUUUAAAGAACAUGUUAGAACCACUGAAACAAGAAUUUUAUCAGGUACCACUAGGGGAGCCUCUGGCACAACAGUUAUUCCUGAAAGUUCCAACACAGGCAAGUAAAUAUUUAAUCAGUGGCUCCAGGUAGAUAAGCCUAGGGAAAAAACAGCCCUU
This 333-nucleotide long non-coding RNA is filed under the name Bos indicus x Bos taurus (hybrid cattle). RNAcentral's name for it is "lncRNA (ENSBIXG00000002989.1)". The record is from RNAcentral. Lineage: Eukaryota; Metazoa; Chordata; Mammalia; Artiodactyla; Bovidae.